AAUCAACGCUGGCGGCGUGCCUCAGACAUGCAAGUCGAACGAUUAAAGCUCUCUUCGGAGAGUGUAUAGAGUGGCGCACGGGUGAGUAACACGUAAGUAAUCUACCUUUGAGUGGGGAAUAACAGUCGGAAACGGCUGCUAAUACCGCAUAACGCAGCGGCACCGCAAGGUGACAGUUGUUAAAGGAGCAAUCCGCUUAAAGAGGAGCUUGCGGCAGAUUAGCUUGUUGGUAAGGUAACGGCUUACCAAGGCUACGAUCUGUAUCCGGUCUAAGAGGACGGUCGGACACACUGACACUGAAUAACGGGUCAGACUCCUACGGGAGGCAGCAGUCGGGAAUUUUGGGCAAUGGGCGAAAGCCUGACCCAGCAACGCCGCGUGAAGGAUGAAGUAUUUCGGUAUGUAAACUUCGAAAGAAUAGAAGAAUAAAUGACGGUACUAUUUAUAAGCUCCGGCUAACUACGUGCCAGCCGCCGCCGUAAG
This 483-nucleotide ribosomal RNA is filed under the name uncultured bacterium. Its description in RNAcentral is "bacterial SSU rRNA". It matches the Rfam family "Bacterial small subunit ribosomal RNA", at positions 32 to 524 of the family's 1533-position model. The record is from RNAcentral.